CCUACGGGAGGCAGCAGUGAGGAAUCUUCCACAAUGGACGAAAGUCUGAUGGAGCGACACCGCGUGAAGGAUGAAGGCCUAACGGUUGUAAACUUCUUUUCUGAAGGAGCAUAAUGAGAGUACUUCAGGAAUAAGGGACGGCUAAAUACGUGCCAGCAGCCGCGGUAAUACGUAUGUCCCGAGCGUUACCCGGAAUCACUGGGUGUAAAGGGUUCGUAGGCGGAACUAUAAGUUAGAUAUGAAAGACCGGAGCUCAACUCCGUGUUUGUGUUUGAAACUGUAGUUCUAGAAUUAGGGAGAGGUAAGCGGAAUUCUAAGUGCAGGGGUGCAAUCCGUAGAUACUUAGAGGAACACCAAAGGCGAAGGCGGCUUACUGGAACUAUAUUGACGCUGAGGAACGAAAGCGUGGGGAGCGAAAAGGAUUAGAUACCCUUGUAGUC
Molecule: ribosomal RNA, 440 nt
Filed under: uncultured bacterium
Lineage: Bacteria
Description: bacterial SSU rRNA
Rfam family: Bacterial small subunit ribosomal RNA
Source: RNAcentral